Molecule: unclassified non-coding RNA, 613 nt
Filed under: Hevea brasiliensis (rubber tree)
Lineage: Eukaryota; Viridiplantae; Streptophyta; Magnoliopsida; Malpighiales; Euphorbiaceae
Source: RNAcentral
CUACCUUGUUUACUGGAUUUCCAUUAGUUUGUCAUUUCUAAAUGAUGCCAUCUAUUAUAUAUAUCUAAAGUGUGAUUGAUUUUAUAUCUUUCCCAUAUUUGGUUGCUACCAGUUCUCAUUUAAUGAUCUUUUGCCUUACAAGAAAGAAUGGUGCAUUCUGGAGCAAAGCCUUGAGUCCCUUCCAAAGAUAUUGGUGUAGGAUGUGGUUAUCACAUUCCUUCUUUGUGGCUUCAAAUUGUUAGGGUUAGCUCUUUUAUGGAAGAACUAAGAAGAAGCAGAAGAAAAUAGAGAGAAAUAGAGGAAGAAAAAAAAGAGAUAGGAAAAAGAGAAACAGAGAAAUAUUGAGAGAAUGAACAGAAUUUUGUUAUUUUCUUGAAUGCCUUUCUCCCAGCUACUGAGCUGUUAUUUAUACAGCUUAUUGUUUCAGUUAUAAUUGUUCCUGCCAACCUCACUUCUUUUUAAGAACUCCAGCUCAUCCAUCUAACUGUUCCUGUACACCUUAGCUGCACUACUAACACUUUGCGCUAUUACAGUUCUUUUCCUUCACUUCUUCUUGAACCUCAUUCUCUGGUAUGUGACAUUGAUGUUGUCAUUUGAUUAUUCUGUUGGUGUU